RNAcentral lists this ribosomal RNA (253 nucleotides) under uncultured bacterium. Its description in RNAcentral is "partial 16S ribosomal RNA". It matches the Rfam family "Bacterial small subunit ribosomal RNA", at positions 524 to 776 of the family's 1533-position model. The record is from RNAcentral.
UACGGAGGGUGCAAACGUUGCUCGGAAUUAUUGGGCGUAAAGCGCACGUAGGCGGUCCAGCAAGUCGGGUGUGAAAGCCCUCGGCUUAACCGAGGAAGUGCAUUCGAAACUACUGGACUUGAAUACUGGAGAGGAUCGCGGAAUUCCCGGUGUAGAGGUGAAAUUCGUAGAUAUCGGGGGGAACACCAGUGGCGAAGGCGGCGAUCUGGACAGAUAUUGACGCUGAGGUGCGAAAGCGUGGGGAGCAAACAGG